CCUACGGGAGGCAGCAGUGGGGAAUUUUGGACAAUGGGCGAAAGCCUGAUCCAGCAAUGCCGCGUGAGUGAAGAAGGCCUUCGGGUUGUAAAGCUCUUUUGUCAGGGAAGAAACGGUGAGAGCUAAUAUCUCUUGCUAAUGACGGUACCUGAAGAAUAAGCACCGGCUAACUACGUGCCAGCAGCCGCGGUAAUACGUAGGGUGCAAGCGUUAAUCGGAAUUACUGGGCGUAAAGCGUGCGCAGGCGGUUUUGUAAGUCUGAUGUGAAAUCCCCGGGCUCAACCUGGGAAUUGCAUUGGAGACUGCAAGGCUAGAAUCUGGCAGAGGGGGGUAGAAUUCCACGUGUAGCAGUGAAAUGCGUAGAUAUGUGGAGGAACACCGGAUGGCGAAGGCAGCCCCCUGGGUCAGAUUGACGCUCAUGCACGAAAGCGUGGGGAGCAAACAGGAUUAGACUACCUGGUAGUCCACGCCCUAAACGNUGUCUACUAGUUGUCGGUUACUUAGUUGUACGUUAGGUAACGCGACGACGUAACCGUACGUAGGAAGGUACGGACCGGUCCGGUCGGGGUACGGGUUACGGGUUACGGUACGAAGUUAAAGUUAAAACGUUAAAACGGUUAAGGUUAGGUACGGACGUUAGAGACGUUACGACCGACGGACGACGACGGAGGGAGGAGG
Molecule: ribosomal RNA, 678 nt
Filed under: uncultured bacterium
Lineage: Bacteria
Description: bacterial SSU rRNA
Rfam family: Bacterial small subunit ribosomal RNA (bases 1-525)
Source: RNAcentral